UCGGUAGAGAACGAAAACCCUAAUCUGAUCUUUCGUUUUCUUUCGAGAGGCUUGUGUGGAAUCGACAAGCAAGGACAAAAAGGAAUCUUCAAGUGACGCGACGAGGAAUCCGUGGGGUAGCUCACUAUAGAAUGACAGUGGCAGGGUGUAAGGAGUAAGAUUCUGAUGAGGAGCCGCCGAGCUAACGUGAUGACAUUGGCGUUAUUUUGAGCGAGAGUUGUGUUUUGUAAUCAACUCCUCCGUAGUUAGUUUUUAAGUUUUAUUUUGUUGAGUUAAAGAUGUAAAACUGGAAUUUUAAU
Long non-coding RNA from Glycine soja, 299 nucleotides. RefSeq lists it as uncharacterized. NCBI's taxonomy places the organism in Eukaryota, Viridiplantae, Streptophyta, Magnoliopsida, Fabales, Fabaceae. The record is from RefSeq and is a predicted model, not a curated record. The transcript has 3 exons.